CCUACGGGAGGCAGCAGUGAGGAAUAUUGGUCAAGGGGCGGGAGCCUGAACCAGCCAAGCCGCGUGAGGGAAGAAGGUACAGCGUAUCGUAAACCUCUUUUGUCAGGGAACAAAGGCGGGGACGAGUCCCCGGAUGAGGGUACCGGAAGAAAAAGCAUCGGCCAACCCCGUGCCAGCAGCCGCGGUAAGACGGAGGAUGCGAGCGUUAGCCGGAUUUAGUGGGUUUAAAGGGUGCGCAGGUGGCCUGGUAGGUCAGCGGUAAAAGCCCGGGGCUCAACCCCGGCGAGCCGUUGAAACUGGCGGGCUGGCGUUGGAGUGCCGUACGCGGACUGCGCGGUGUAGCGGU
RNAcentral lists this ribosomal RNA (346 nucleotides) under uncultured bacterium. RNAcentral describes it as "partial 16S ribosomal RNA". It matches the Rfam family "Bacterial small subunit ribosomal RNA", at positions 338 to 682 of the family's 1533-position model. The record is from RNAcentral.